UUGAACGCUGGCGGCAGGCCUAACACAUGCAAGUCGAACGGUAACAGGAAGCAGCUUGCUGCUUCGCUGACGAGUGGCGGCCGGGUGAGUAAUGUCUGGGAAGCUGCCUGAUGGAGGGGGAUAACUACUGGAAACGGUAGCUAAUACCGCAUAAUGUCGCAAGACCAAAGAGGGGGACCUUCGGGCCUCUUGCCAUCGGAUGUGCCCAGAUGGGAUUAGCUUGUUGGUGGGGUAACGGCUCACCAAGGCGACGAUCCCUAGCUGGUCUGAGAGGAUGACCAGCCACACUGGAACUGAGACACGGUCCAGACUCCUACGGGAGGCAGCAGUGGGGAAUAUUGCACAAUGGGCGCAAGCCUGAUGCAGCCAUGCCGCGUGUAUGAAGAAGGCCUUCGGGUUGUAAAGUACUUUCAGCGGGGAGGAAGGGAGUAAAGUUAAUACCUGUGCUCAUUGACGUUACCCGCAGAAGAAGCACCGGCUAACUCCGUG
This 489-nucleotide ribosomal RNA is filed under the name uncultured bacterium. RNAcentral describes it as "partial 16S ribosomal RNA". It matches the Rfam family "Bacterial small subunit ribosomal RNA", at positions 30 to 507 of the family's 1533-position model. The record is from RNAcentral.